Long non-coding RNA from Drosophila mauritiana, 619 nucleotides. RefSeq lists it as uncharacterized. The record is from RefSeq and is a predicted model, not a curated record. The transcript is spliced from 2 exons. Lineage: Eukaryota; Metazoa; Arthropoda; Insecta; Diptera; Drosophilidae.
ACAGCAUUAGGUUUAUAAGAGUGCAGAUUUGUUUUUAAUGUUAGCUGAGAAAAGGCAGAAAUAGGAACAUUUAAAUUGCCCCAUUUCGUUUCAGUUUUAACUAACUAAUGUAAAACUUAAUAUACAGUUGUAUGAACACCAUUUCAUCUUACAAAACUAUGUGUAAGACGUUUCCAAUGUUAAGUUUUGCGGAAAGCACAUGGUCACACAGCGGCCGAUUCAUAGCAUGAUUUCAAUGUACCAAUUAUUGUUAUGUGGUGGUAACGUAAUAUAAAGAUAUAAUUUUUGGGAUCCAAUGUGCGUUUUGGCUGGCGCCUGUUAUCGGGGCGUGUUGGCGUGGCACAGGCCGCAAAUAGUUGGCACCUCGCGUCUUCAUUGAAUUCUCAAUUUUAAAUGUAUAUUUAUAUUUAUGCUUGCUUGCAGUUCCCUGGCUUUUUCUCGCCCUCCAACAUUUCCCGCUCUGUUUUCCCACCGUGUGUAGUGUAAUCGUAUUGGAUGGGAUAUGCAGUGGAUAUGCGUUAUGUUUGCAUUUCUCGUGUGUGUUGCAUAUAUUUUUGUCACCACGACGGCAUCUCAGGAAUGCGGAGCACCAGAAAUAAACCAAGUGCAAAAACCUUUA